RNAcentral lists this ribosomal RNA (200 nucleotides) under uncultured Syntrophus sp. RNAcentral's name for it is "partial 16S ribosomal RNA". It matches the Rfam family "Bacterial small subunit ribosomal RNA", at positions 1184 to 1382 of the family's 1533-position model. Lineage: Bacteria; Pseudomonadati; Thermodesulfobacteriota; Syntrophia; Syntrophales; Syntrophaceae. The record is from RNAcentral.
GUCAAGUCCUCAUGGCCUUUAUGCCCAGGGCUACACACGUGCUACAAUGGGUGGUACAAAGAGAGGCAAGCUCGCGAGAGUAAGCAAAUCUCAAAAGCCAUCCUCAGUUCGGAUUGGAGUCUGCAACUCGACCCCAUGAAGUCGGAAUCGCUAGUAAUCGCGGAUCAGCAUGCCGCGGUCGAAUACGGUUCCCGGGCCUU